Molecule: ribosomal RNA, 486 nt
Filed under: uncultured bacterium
Lineage: Bacteria
Description: partial 16S ribosomal RNA
Rfam family: Bacterial small subunit ribosomal RNA
Source: RNAcentral
ACUCAAAGGAAUUGACGGGGACCCGCACAAGCAGUGGAGCAUGUGGUUUAAUUCGACGCUACGCGAAGAACCUUACCAAGGUUUGACAUCCUAGGAAUCCGCUAGAAAUAGUGGAGUGCCUUCGGGAACCUAGUGACAGGUGUUGCAUGGCCGUCGUCAGCUCGUGUCGUGAGAUGUUGGGUUAAGUCCCGCAACGAGCGCAACCCUUAUCGUUUGUUGUAUUUUUCAAACGAGACUGCCCGGGCCAACCGGGAGGAAGGUGGGGAUGACGUCAGGUCAGCAUGACCCUUACACCUUGGGCUACACACGUGCUACAAUGGCCGGUACAACGCGUUUGCCAACCCGCGAGGGGGAGCUAAUCGCAUCAAAACCGGUCCCAGUUCGGAUAGGAGGCUGCAACUCGCCUCCUUGAAGUUGGAAUUGCUAGUAAACGUGGGUCAGCAUACCACGUUGAAUACGUUCUCGGGUCUUGUACACACCGCCCGU